UGUAAGCGUAUACCAAAGUUGUUGCAGUUAAAACGCUCGUAGUCGGAAUUUGGCAGUUCCGGAUGUGUGCACGUCGUGUGCGCACUUCGCGGGGAUUGCUUUUGUGGUCUUGCGUAGGAUGAGGCACUUUUAUUAGUGAACGUCCUCACGCAACCACUUUUUACUGUGAGAAAAUCAGAGUGCUCAAAGCAGGCAUUUGCCGUGAAUGUAUUAGCAUGGAAUAAUAGAAUAGGACUUUGUUCUAUUUUGUUGGUUUGUUGGGACUGAGUAAUGAUUAAGAGGGACAGUUGGGGGCAUUUGUAUUUCGGUGCUAGAGGUGAAAUUCUUAGAUUACCGAAAGACAAACUGCUGCGAAAGCGUCUGCCAAGGAUGUUUUCAUUGA
Molecule: ribosomal RNA, 382 nt
Filed under: uncultured eukaryote
Lineage: Eukaryota
Description: partial 18S ribosomal RNA
Rfam family: Eukaryotic small subunit ribosomal RNA
Source: RNAcentral